AAAAAGAUGAGGCUUAUAUUUCACUUAUUUUUUGAUACAGCACCUGGUUAUAUAACCUGGAUUGCCUGGAACUCAUGGCUCUCUUAUUUUGGCUUUGUGAGUGCUGGAAUUGCAGGUGUGUGGCACCACAUUAGGCUUUAGAAUUUUUUUUUUAAAAAUCACAACCUUCAUUAUUUUCCUAAUUUGUUUAUUUAUAUUUAUUUAUAUCAUUUAUUUAUUUAGGUACAUAAACGUGUGUCCUACGGCAAGAGCACAGAGGUCAAAGUCCUGGGUGUCAGUCAAGCUCAGCAGCAGGUGCAUUGCUGAGAACUGAUCCAGUCCCUUGCCCAUGUUCAAUGCUUAUGGUCCCACAGAGGGAUAAGCACCCCAUCGUUUUCGGUGCUGAGGAUCAGACCCAGGCCUUCAUGCAUACAAAGCAGAUGUUCAGCUUCAGAGCAUCCCACAGCACAUGUCUGUCGUCCUGGAGCUUCACAGUAGAAGACAGAAAGAUUACUGAGCCUUGUUGGCCAGCAGAUCAUGUGCAGUCAGUGAGUUCCAGACACUGAGAGAUUGUGUCAAAGAACAAAAACAAGGUAGAUAAGGAUAAAGGGAGAGGCCUGGCAUCAAUCUCUGUCUUCUGUAU
Molecule: long non-coding RNA, 622 nt
Filed under: Mus spicilegus (steppe mouse)
Lineage: Eukaryota; Metazoa; Chordata; Mammalia; Rodentia; Muridae
Description: lncRNA (ENSMSIG00000004187.1)
Source: RNAcentral